This 253-nucleotide ribosomal RNA is filed under the name uncultured bacterium. Its description in RNAcentral is "partial 16S ribosomal RNA". It matches the Rfam family "Bacterial small subunit ribosomal RNA", at positions 524 to 776 of the family's 1533-position model. The record is from RNAcentral.
UACGUAGGGCGCAAGCGUUAUCCGGAAUUAUUGGGCGUAAAGAGCUCGUAGGCGGUUUGUCGCGUCUGCCGUGAAAGUCCGGGGCUCAACUCCGGAUCUGCGGUGGGUACGGGCAGACUAGAGUGAUGUAGGGGAGACUGGAAUUCCUGGUGUAGCGGUGAAAUGCGUAGAUAUCGUAAGGAAGACCAGUGGCGAAGGCGGGUCUCUGGAACGCAACUGACGCUGAGACGCGAAAGCGUGGGGAGCAAACAGG